This 546-nucleotide ribosomal RNA is filed under the name Sulcomitrella monodonta. RNAcentral's name for it is "partial small subunit ribosomal RNA". It matches the Rfam family "Bacterial small subunit ribosomal RNA", at positions 531 to 1384 of the family's 1533-position model. The record is from RNAcentral. Lineage: Eukaryota; Metazoa; Mollusca; Gastropoda; Neogastropoda; Columbellidae.
GACCUAAGGGUUAAGCUAUAUAGUUAGGUAAAAAGAUAGUUAGGCGUUAAAAAUGGUGAGUUUUAUAAUUUUUUAUAGAAAGGUAAAAUUUGAAUAUAAGGAAAUAUUUUUUGUAAAACUAUGAUGCUGAAGCUAUGAUAGUUUUGAGGGAAACUGGGAUUAGAUACCCCAUUAUUCAUAAUUGUAAAUUAAUGUAAGUUUACCAGAGUACUAUGAAUAAAUAAGAUUUAAAACUCAAAGGGCUUGGCGGUGUUUUAGACCAAUUAGGGGAACCUGUCUCUUAAUCGAUAGUCCACGAUAUACCUAGCCUUUUUUGGUAAUCAGUCUGUAUACCGUCGUUGUCAGGUAACUUUUAAAAACUAAGAAGUUAGCAUCAGUAAUAUGUGUUGAUUAAGACGUCAGAUCAAGGUGCAGCUAAUAAAAAGGAGAAGAUGGGUUACAAUUAUAAAUUUAUAAUUAUGGAUAGUUUAAUGAAAAAAGCUUUAAGGAGGACUUAAAAGUAAUGCUGUAAUAUAUAAAUGGUUUGAAUUAGGCUCUGAAACGUGC